RNAcentral lists this microRNA precursor (83 nucleotides) under Macaca mulatta rhadinovirus. RNAcentral's name for it is "Rhesus monkey rhadinovirus miR-rR1-2 stem-loop (rrv-miR-rR1-2)". Its record names the gene rrv-miR-rR1-2. Lineage: Duplodnaviria; Heunggongvirae; Peploviricota; Herviviricetes; Herpesvirales; Orthoherpesviridae. The record is from miRBase by way of RNAcentral.
CAGCCUCCCGCGACCAUGCUGCGCCCCGUAUUCGUGCGGAAGGCAAUUCGAAUAUACGGCGCUGCACGGUUGGAGGGCGGUUG